AGAGAAGAUUGAAGACUGCUAAAGUGAUCUCUCCUGGACCCUGAAGCAGAGUGGCCAAGCCAUUAGAGACCUCGGGCUGUUGGAAUGAACCUACCUUCCUGCUCCCAGGUUCCUGGCUUGUGCGCCCCACAACCUGUUGGGCCUAGACUAGCCCUCACCUCCAACUGGGCCCGCACUACUCCUCACUGUGUCCAAAUGCUAAAGCUGCUGCUGCUCACGCUGCCCCUCCUGUCCAGCCUGGUGCAUGCAGCCCCCGGUCCAGCUAUGACACGAGAAGGCAUUGUGGGGGGACAGGAGGCACAUGGGAACAAGUGGCCCUGGCAGGGAUGUUGCUGACCCCAACAAGGUCAGAGUACAGCUCCGUAAGCAGUACCUCUAUUACCAUGACCACCUGAUGAAUGUGAGCCAGAUCAUCACACACCCCGACUUCUACAUCGUCCAGGAUGGGGCAGACAUUGCCCUGCUGAAACUCACAAACCCUGUGAACAUUUCUGACUAUGUCCACCCUGUCCCCCUACCUCCUGCCUCAGAGACCUUCCCCUCAGGAACGUUGUGCUGGGUGACAGGCUGGGGUAACAUCGACAAUGGUGUAAACCUGCCGCCACCAUUUCCUUUGAAGGAGGUGCAAGUUCCCAUUAUAGAAAACCACCUUUGUGACUUGAAGUAUCACAAAGGUCUCAUCACAGGUGACAAUGUCCACAUUGUCCGAGAUGACAUGCUGUGUGCUGGGAAUGAAGGACAUGACUCCUGCCAGGGCGACUCCGGAGGACCUCUGGUCUGCAAGGUAGAAGACACCUGGCUGCAGGCAGGCGUGGUCAGCUGGGGUGAGGACUGCGCACAGCCCAACAGGCCUGGCAUCUACACCCGGGUCACCUAUUACUUGGACUGGAUCCACCGCUAUGUCCCCAAGGACUUCUGAGUCACAUCCAGGAUGACCUCCGUUCCUCCCAGCAUGCUGCUUCCUGCCUGGGUGGCAUCCCUGCCUUCCUCUCCUGCUCCCCAUCCUGAGUCCCAAUUCUUCUGCCUUCCACUCAAGUAGCUACACUGCGCAGGCGCCGCUCUCUGCUAUGCCUCAAUAAAAUGCAUUAAAGCA
RNA transcript from Mus musculus (house mouse), 1093 nucleotides. It is a transcript of the gene named tryptase alpha/beta 1, with no coding region annotated. Lineage: Eukaryota; Metazoa; Chordata; Mammalia; Rodentia; Muridae. The record is from RefSeq and is marked validated. The transcript is spliced from 5 exons.